GAAGUGCGAUAAGCAAUGCGAAUUGCAGAACCGUGAGUCAUCAAAAUUUUGAACGCACCUUGCACUUCCCUCUGGGGAGUAUGUCUGUUGGAGUGUCUGUUCAUCCCCACGAAGCAUUUCAUUUCGGUGAUGAUGUAUUCGAGUCGGUCUUAUUAUUUACAUUAUAUGCACCUAGAUGAAACAACACUCAGUCGUCUACACUUCAUAACUGAAGUUGUAAUUUCGACGCGACGUCCAAGUUCUUCGGAACUAAACUCGUGUAAUGAAAUUAUGACUUUAUUCCAAAAGUUUUGAUAUGUCUUUGACAAUCCGAUCGGACCUCCAAUCAGGCAAGAAUACCCGCUGAAUUUAA
RNAcentral lists this unclassified non-coding RNA (352 nucleotides) under uncultured fungus. RNAcentral describes it as "sequence contains ITS1". The stretch from base 1 to 98 matches the Rfam family "5.8S ribosomal RNA", at positions 50 to 154 of the family's 154-position model. Lineage: Eukaryota; Fungi. The record is from RNAcentral.